AUUGAACGCUGGCGGCAUGCCUUACACAUGCAAGUCGAACGGUAACGGGUCCUUCGGGAUGCCGACGAGUGGCGAACGGGUGAGUAAUAUAUCGGAACGUGCCCAGUAGUGGGGGAUAACUGCUCGAAAGAGCAGCUAAUACCGCAUACGACCUGAGGGUGAAAGGGGGGGAUCGCAAGACCUCUCGCUAUUGGAGCGGCCGAUAUCAGAUUAGCCAGUUGGUGGGGUAAAGGCCUACCAAGGCAACGAUCUGUAGUUGGUCUGAGAGGACGACCAGCCACACUGGGACUGAGACACGGCCCAGACUCCUACGGGAGGCAGCAGUGGGGAAUUUUGGACAAUGGGCGCAAGCCUGAUCCAGCAAUGCCGCGUGCAGGAAGAAGGCCUUCGGGUUGUAAACUGCUUUUGUCAGGGAAGAAAUCUUCUGGGCUAAUACCCCGGGAGGAUGACGGUACCUGAAGAAUAUGCACCGGCUAACUACGUGCCAGCAGCCGCAGUAA
This 500-nucleotide ribosomal RNA is filed under the name uncultured bacterium. Its description in RNAcentral is "partial 16S ribosomal RNA". It matches the Rfam family "Bacterial small subunit ribosomal RNA", at positions 30 to 523 of the family's 1533-position model. The record is from RNAcentral.